Molecule: ribosomal RNA, 428 nt
Filed under: uncultured bacterium
Lineage: Bacteria
Description: bacterial SSU rRNA
Rfam family: Bacterial small subunit ribosomal RNA
Source: RNAcentral
AAACGCUGGCGGCAGGCCUAACACAUGCAAGUCGAGCGCCCAGCAAUGGGAGCGGCGGACGGGUGAGUAACGCGUGGGAACCUUCCUGAUAGUACGGAAUAGCCCAGGGAAACUUGGAGUAAUACCGUAUACGCCCGUAAGGGGAAAGAUUUAUCGCUAUCAGAUGGGCCCGCGUAGGAUUAGCUAGUUGGUGAGGUAAUGGCUCACCAAGGCGACGAUCCUUAGCUGGUUUGAGAGAAUGACCAGCCACACUGGGACUGAGACACGGCCCAGACUCCUACGGGAGGCAGCAGUGGGGAAUCUUGGACAAUGGGCGCAAGCCUGAUCCAGCCAUGCCGCGUGAGUGACGAAGGUCUUCGGAUUGUAAAGCUCUUUUGCCAGGGACGAUAAUGACGGUACCUGGAGAAUAAGCCCCGGCUAACUUCGUG